UACGGGGGGGGCAAGCGUUGUUCGGAAUUACUGGGCGUAAAGCGCGCGUAGGUGGCCUCAUAAGUCCGCUGUGAAAGUCCAAGGCUCAACCUUGGAAAGCCGGUGGAUACUGUGAGGCUAGAGUACGGAAGAGGCGAGUGGAAUUCCUGGUGUAGCGGUGGAAUGCGCAGAUAUCAGGAGGAACACCAAUAGCGAAGGCAGCUCGCUGGGACGUUACUGACACUGAGGCGCGAAAGCGUGGGGAGCGAACAGG
This 253-nucleotide ribosomal RNA is filed under the name uncultured bacterium. RNAcentral describes it as "partial 16S ribosomal RNA". It matches the Rfam family "Bacterial small subunit ribosomal RNA", at positions 524 to 776 of the family's 1533-position model. The record is from RNAcentral.